GGCCCCUAAUCGGGGUUGCGGACAGUGUCUGGUGGGUAGUUUGACUGGGGCGGUCUCCUCCUAAAGAGUAACGGAGGAGCACGAAGGUUGGCUAAUCCUGGUCGGACAUCAGGAGGUUAGUGCAAUGGCAUAAGCCAGCUUGACUGCGAGCGUGACGGCGCGAGCAGGUGCGAAAGCAGGUCAUAGUGAUCCGGUGGUUCUGAAUGGAAGGGCCAUCGCUCAACGGAUAAAAGGUACUCCGGGGAUAACAGGCUGAUACCGCCCAAGAGUUCAUAUCGACGGCGGUGUUUGGCACCUCGAUGUCGGCUCAUCACAUCCUGGGGCUGAAGUAGGUCCCAAGGGUAUGGCUGUUCGCCAUUUAAAGUGGUACGCGAGCUGGGUUUAGAACGUCGUGAGACAGUUCGGUCCCUAUCUGCCGUGGGCGCUGGAGAACUGAGGGGGGCUGCUCCUAGUACGAGAGGACCGGAGUGGACGCAUCACUGGUGUUCGGGUUGUCAUGCCAAUGGCACUGCCCGGUAGCUAAAUGCGGAAGAGAUAAGUGCUGAAAGCAUCUAAGCACGAAACUUGCCCCGAGAUGAGUUCUCCCUGAGACUUAGAGUCUCCUGAAGGAACGUUGAAGACGACGACGUUGAUAGGCCGGGUGUGUAAGCGCAGCGAUGCGUUGAGCUAAC
This 671-nucleotide ribosomal RNA is filed under the name Escherichia coli. RNAcentral describes it as "partial 23S ribosomal RNA". It matches the Rfam family "Bacterial large subunit ribosomal RNA", at positions 2230 to 2895 of the family's 2925-position model. Lineage: Bacteria; Pseudomonadati; Pseudomonadota; Gammaproteobacteria; Enterobacterales; Enterobacteriaceae. The record is from RNAcentral.